UACCCGCUGAACUUAAGCAUAUCAAUAAGCGGAGGAAAAGAAACCAACAGGGAUUGCCUCAGUAGCGGCGAGUGAAGCGGCAAAAGCUCAAAUUUGAAACCCUCGGGAUUGUAAUUUGAAGAUUUGGCAUUGGAGAAAGCUAACCCAAGUUGCUUGGAAUAGUACGUCAUAGAGGGUGACAACCCCGUCUGGCUAACCGUUCUCCAUGUAUUGCCUUAUCAAAGAGUCGAGUUGUUUGGGAAUGCAGCUCAAAGUGGGUGGUAAACUCCAUCUAAAGCUAAAUACUGGUGAGAGACCGAUAGCGAACAAGUACUGUGAAGGAAAGGUGAAAAGAACUUUGAAAAGAGAGUGAAAUAGUAUGUGAAAUUGUUGAUAGGGAAGGAAAUGAGUGGAGAGUGGCCGAGGUUUCAGCCGCCCCUCGUGGGCGGUGUACUGCCGACGCCGAGUCAUCGAUAGCGAGACGAGGGUUACAAAUGGGAGCGCCUUCGGGCGUUCUCCCCUAACCCUCCACACUGCCACCGACGACAUAAUCCACCCAUUUCACCCGUCUUGAAACACGGACCAAGGAGUCUAAUGGAUAUGUGAGUGUUAGGGUGGCAAACCCCAGCGCGCAAUGAAAGUGAAUGGAUUCGUUCAGAAUCGACCGAACUUGAUUAUUAUGACAGUUUUGAGUAAACACAUCCAUUGGGACCCGAAAGAUGGUGA
This 705-nucleotide ribosomal RNA is filed under the name Atlantibacter subterraneus. Its description in RNAcentral is "partial 23S ribosomal RNA". It matches the Rfam family "Eukaryotic large subunit ribosomal RNA", at positions 22 to 829 of the family's 3401-position model. The record is from RNAcentral. Lineage: Bacteria; Pseudomonadati; Pseudomonadota; Gammaproteobacteria; Enterobacterales; Enterobacteriaceae.